RNAcentral lists this ribosomal RNA (354 nucleotides) under uncultured Frankia sp. Its description in RNAcentral is "bacterial SSU rRNA". It matches the Rfam family "Bacterial small subunit ribosomal RNA", at positions 34 to 398 of the family's 1533-position model. Lineage: Bacteria; Bacillati; Actinomycetota; Actinomycetes; Frankiales; Frankiaceae. The record is from RNAcentral.
CGCUGGCGGCGUGCUUAACACAUGCAAGUCGAGCGAGGGGCUUCGGCUCCUAGCGGCGAACGGGUGAGUAACACGUGGGCAACCUGCCUCGAGCUCUGGAAUAACCUCGGGAAACCGGGGCUAAUGCCGGAUAUGACGCUACCGGGCAUCUGGUGGUGUGGAAAGAUUUAUCGGCUCGAGAUGGGCCCGCGGCCUAUCAGCUUGUUGGUGGGGUGAUGGCCUACCAAGGCGACGACGGGUAGCCGGCCUGAGAGGGCGACCGGCCACACUGGGACUGAGACACGGCCCAGACUCCUACGGGAGGCAGCAGUGGGGAAUAUUGCGCAAUGGGCGGAAGCCUGACGCAGCGACGCC